UGUUUUAGGUGACUUGGUCCUAAUUCAACCC
This 31-nucleotide non-coding RNA is filed under the name Rattus norvegicus (Norway rat). Lineage: Eukaryota; Metazoa; Chordata; Mammalia; Rodentia; Muridae. The record is from RNAcentral.